GUGGGGAAUAUUGGACAAUGGGCGAAAGCCUGAUCCAGCCAUGCCGCGUGUGUGAAGAAGGUCUUCGGAUUGUAAAGCACUUUAAGUUGGGAGGAAGGGCAGUAAGUUAAUACCUUGCUGUUUUGACGUUACCGACAGAAUAAGCACCGGCUAACUUCGUGCCAGCAGCCGCGGUAAUACGAAGGGUGCAAGCGUUAAUCGGAAUUACUGGGCGUAAAGCGCGCGUAGGUGGUUCAGCAAGUUGAAGGUGAAAUCCCCGGGCUCAACCUGGGAACUGCCUCAAAAACUACUGAGCUAGAGUACGGUAGAGGGUAGUGGAAUGUCCUGUGUAGCGGUGAAAUGCGUAGAUAUAGGAAGGAACACCAGUGGCGAAGGCGACUACCUGGACUGAUACUGACACUGAGGUGCGAAAGCGUGGGGAGCAAACAGGAUUAGAAACCCUGGUAGUCC
This 450-nucleotide ribosomal RNA is filed under the name uncultured bacterium. Its description in RNAcentral is "partial 16S ribosomal RNA". It matches the Rfam family "Bacterial small subunit ribosomal RNA", at positions 354 to 796 of the family's 1533-position model. The record is from RNAcentral.